This is a non-coding RNA of Acanthosepion pharaonis, 114 nucleotides long. The record is from the annotation of a GenBank genome assembly. Lineage: Eukaryota; Metazoa; Mollusca; Cephalopoda; Sepiida; Sepiidae.
UUACAGCCAUAUCAGGAUUAAACACUGGUUGUUGUAUGAUCACCAAAGUUAAGCAAUAUCGAGCCUGGUCAGUACCUGGAUGGGUGAUCACCUGGGAAUACCAGGUGCUGUAAG